GAUGGGUGCUGGGUCCUGAAUCUUUAAUUUAAAAAUGCAGCAUGGAAUAGGAGACUUCAGCAUUUCUCAUUCAGAGUGCUUCUGGGGAAAAUCUUUAGGAGCUGGCUAAGUGAGCAGACUACAAGGAGCAUUGGUUCCAAAGUCCUGCCUGAACAGCUCCCACCUCAAGAGGUUACCUUUGAUUCAAGUUCACAGAUCCCUAGGUUCUAUCCACAGAAGACCCUUUGGAAGGCUCUUCAAACCCUAGGUUCGGAAUUCCAGCAAAAGACCUUGACACAAGCUCGAAAGAUAAAGAAAUGCAAAGUCCAAUCAAGUGCUGUCGCUCCCUGUGGUCACUUAAGACUCCAGCCUGACAGGAAUGUAAAGAAAUUCAACCCCUGGGAGCUGAGUUAUGUGCCUACCCUACCCUCUACCCUCUAAAUUCAUGAGAGACUAAAGAGCACCUCAGCAUGGCAAUCAGGUGGUGAGAACCCACACCGUGAUGUCUGCAGCUUCUAUAUCACACCUUCCCAAUAUCUCUGGUCAAUGUGCAAUACUAAUUAGUUGGAAAUGUAUAGCUGCAAAGAUAAUUCCAAAAUACUCCUUUGGAAAAGCAACCUUGAAAUUAUUUGGAUGAUAUAAUUAUUUCCAAAGUUAAGUAUCUGUAAUCCUGGGGAGAUUUAGAAUUACAUACAGAGACAAUAGAAAUCAAAUCUAUGGGACUCUAUACCUGUGUUAAGUUGUUUUUGUUGUUGUUAUUUGGGUUUUUUUAGAGAGGGAGGGAGAGGGGCAGAGGAAGAGGGAGGGAGGAUCCCAAGCAGACUCCACACCCCGUGAGUUGUUGGAUGGGGGGCUCUAUCUCCCUACCCUGAGAUCAUGAUCUGAGCUGAAAUCAAAAGUCAGACACUUAACCAACUGAGCCACCCAGGUGCCCCCAUAUAUUUGUGUUAAGUUAUAAAAGAAUUUGUGGGGCAGUUCGGGCGGCUCAGCGGUUUAGCACCUGUAUUCAGUCCAGGGUGUGAUCCUGGAGUCCCGGGAUGGAGUCCCACAUCAGGCUCCCUGCAUGGAGCCUGCUUCUCCCUCGGCCUGUGUCUCUACCUCUUUCUCUCUCUCUGUGUGUGUCUCUC
Molecule: long non-coding RNA, 1106 nt
Organism: Nyctereutes procyonoides (raccoon dog)
Lineage: Eukaryota; Metazoa; Chordata; Mammalia; Carnivora; Canidae
Exons: 3
Source: RefSeq, a predicted model, not a curated record